This 1005-nucleotide ribosomal RNA is filed under the name Triticum aestivum (bread wheat). Its description in RNAcentral is "partial small subunit ribosomal RNA". The record is from RNAcentral. Lineage: Eukaryota; Viridiplantae; Streptophyta; Magnoliopsida; Poales; Poaceae.
AUGGACAAGAUUGCAGAAUUGCAGGAGCUGGAGAAGGGUGCUUUGGAAGUCAACACACUGGACAUGGCAGGUGGAGAGAGCAAGCUGGCUGACCAUGGUCUGGGGCUGCAUGAGCUGGAGAAGAACUCCCCUACACAUAAACAGGGUGCUUUUGAUGUCAGCACAUCGGAGUUGGGAGAUGGAGAAUGCAAGGUGGCUGAUCAUGCUCUCAUGCUGCAUGAAAACCACAAGCAAGAGAUGGAGGCUAUUCAUGCCAAGCUAAUUCAACUUGAGAGGCAACUGGAGCAAAGGGAUAAAGCCCUAGUGCUCAUCGCACGGCAGCUGAACAUGAAACUACAAGCAGGGGAGAUGCUCGCAGAGGAAGACCAUCAACGUCUUUUUGCAGUAAUGGCGUAUGUGAGAAAUAUUCUGGAUGAGGAAGGGAAAAGGAUGAAAGUUCCAUUGCUAGACCUCUUGAAAAGAGAGCAGGCCAACAGCAAAGAGCUCCAAGAGAAUCACCAAGAGUUGAUUCAGGGUUUUGAGAACAUACCGAUUAGUGGGGGUGCCGUUGUUGGAAUCAAAAGGAUGGGCCAACUUGAUGAAAAUCCUUUUCGCGCCGUAUGCAAUUUGAAAUACAGGGACAAUGAUCCAGAGGGAAAAGCUGCAAGGUUGGUCUCGUAUUGGCAGGAGAAAAUACAGAAGCCAUCAUGGCGUCCGUUUACUAAAAUUCAGGUCGAUGAAGAAGAUAAGGAGGUUAUAGAUGACAAUGAUCCAAGACUAAGCAAGCUGCGGUCUGAUUACGGCGACAGCAUCUGCAAUGCAGUGAAGGAUGGACUGAGAGAGCUCAACGAGUAUAGUUCUCGCGAGCGGCGCAUCAUGAAUGAGGUCUGGAACUUCCGCGAAGGGCGGAAGGCGACGAUGACAGAGAUGAUCACCUGCAUUUUGGAGCAGCUGGCAGUGGCGGACCCAGGAUUGCGAGGACAGGAAUUCAAGAUUCCCACAAAAAAAUAUUCAAAUUCAAUAUAA